GAUGAACGCUAGCUACAGGCUUAACACAUGCAAGUCGAGGGGCAGCGGUAUCGAAAGCUUGCUUUCGGUAGCCGGCGACCGGCGCACGGGUGAGUAACGCGUAUCGAACCUGCCUCAUACUCGGGAAUAGCCUUGCGAAAGUAAGAUUAAUGCCCGGUGUUUUCAGAGUCCCGCAUGAGGCUUUGAACAAAGAUUUAUCGGUAUGAGAUGGCGAUGCGUCCCAUUAGCUUGUUGGCGGGGUAACGGCCCACCAAGGCAUCGAUGGGUAGGGGUUCUGAGAGGAAGGUCCCCCACAUUGGAACUGAGACACGGUCCAAACUCCUACGGGAGGCAGCAGUGAGGAAUAUUGGUCAAUGGGCGGAAGCCUGAACCAGCCAAGUAGCGUGCAGGAAGACGGCCCUCCGGGUUGUAAACUGCUUUUAGUUGGGAAUAAAACGGGGCUCGUGAGCCCCCUUGCAUGUGCCAUCAGAAAAAGGACCGGCUAAUUCCGUG
RNAcentral lists this ribosomal RNA (492 nucleotides) under uncultured bacterium. RNAcentral's name for it is "partial 16S ribosomal RNA". It matches the Rfam family "Bacterial small subunit ribosomal RNA", at positions 28 to 507 of the family's 1533-position model. The record is from RNAcentral.